AUACCUUUCUCGGCCUUUUGGCUAAGAUCAAGUGUAGUAUCUGUUCUUAUCAGUUUAAUAUCUGAUACGUGGGCCAUUGGCUCACAUGAUAUUAAAUUUAUUUUUUAAAGGGGAGAGUCCAUCACAGUAGCUUGCUACUGGGGCCCUCGAGCGUCGCUCAAGCGAUGCACUAUAGCUUGGGCCUGGCGCACUCCAC
This 196-nucleotide small nuclear RNA is filed under the name Gossypium arboreum. RNAcentral describes it as "U2 spliceosomal RNA". It matches the Rfam family "U2 spliceosomal RNA". Rfam says of the family: U2 is a small nuclear RNA (snRNA) component of the spliceosome (involved in pre-mRNA splicing). Complementary binding between U2 snRNA (in an area lying towards the 5' end but 3' to hairpin I) and the branchpoint sequence (BPS) of the intron results the bulging out of an unpaired adenosine, on the BPS, which initiates a nucleophilic attack at the intronic 5' splice site, thus starting the first of two transesterification reactions that mediate splicing. Lineage: Eukaryota; Viridiplantae; Streptophyta; Magnoliopsida; Malvales; Malvaceae. The record is from Rfam by way of RNAcentral.